RNAcentral lists this transfer RNA (68 nucleotides) under Silvatares holzenthali. Its description in RNAcentral is "tRNA-Phe". The record is from RNAcentral. Lineage: Eukaryota; Metazoa; Arthropoda; Insecta; Trichoptera; Pisuliidae.
GUUUGGAUAACUUAUAGAAUAGAGUGUAAUAUUGAAGAUAUUAAAGAGAUUUUUUUAAUCUUCAAAUA